Molecule: transfer RNA, 61 nt
Filed under: Trichochrysea japana
Lineage: Eukaryota; Metazoa; Arthropoda; Insecta; Coleoptera; Chrysomelidae
Description: tRNA-Cys
Source: RNAcentral
GUCUUAAUAGUCAAUUAUGAUAUUAAAUUGCAAAUUUAAAGGUUUACUUAUAAUUAAGGCU